Molecule: ribosomal RNA, 550 nt
Filed under: Neotorula submersa
Lineage: Eukaryota; Fungi; Ascomycota; Dothideomycetes; Pleosporales; Torulaceae
Description: eukaryotic LSU rRNA
Rfam family: 5.8S ribosomal RNA (bases 188-342)
Source: RNAcentral
CUCCGCCACGACGCCCCCACCGGGGGAGUCGGGAGCACCCAAAUCCCCCCCCUCGCGCGCGCAAUGCGUCCACCCUGUCCUUUGAGCACCUUUUUCUUCCCCCCGACGGGGCGACUCGUCGGGUGGGACACCCAUCGAACCCUUUUGCAUCAGCAGUGUAUCGUCAGUAACAAACAAAAUAAAUCAAAACUUUCAACAAUGGAUCUCUUGGCUCUGGCAUCGAUGAAGAACGCAGCGAAAUGCGAUAAGUAGUGUGAAUUGCAGAAUUCAGCGAAUCAUCGAAUCUUUGAACGCACAUUGCGCCCUUCGAUUAUUCCUUAGGGCAUGCCUGUUCGAGCGUCAUUUCAACCUUCAAGCUCAGCUUGGUGUUGGGUGCUGUCCCCGCCGCUUCGGCGCGUGGACUCGCCUUAAAUUGAUUGGCAGCCGCAACCUCCGCCGCGAGCGCAGCACAGUCGCGCUAACGACGGGUCGGGUUGGGGGCUCUCCAGAAGCUUAUAUCAACGUCUUGACCUCGGAUCAGGUAGGGAUACCCGCUGAACUUAAGCAUAUC